UUUCUGGUUCCUCUCCCGGAAACCCUAAUCCCCAAAUCGCAACAUCCCGAGCAACGAUGGACCUUCGCCUCGCCGCCGCCUCCCGCAAAAUUGGCCGCCCCGACUACGUCCUCCUCUGCACAUAUGGGUGCAGCGACGCGGUGGACAUUAACAAGACCACAGCGUGCGUCUCGCUGAGCAAAAUGGGAUGCAUCAAGGUAACCAUCUCAAAACAAGAUCUGCCAUCGAUCUCCUACUUCCAUGUUACCUGUCCCGACCUCACAGAGAACCCCUUCACCAAAAGUCCUGAGAUCCUUUGGUCGUCGGAGAACUUCAUCCUCUUCUGUGUCCAUCUCGUCCUACCCGGCCCACCAGAGUUCUUCCUCUAUACGGUCGAAGGCCCGGAGUUCCCAGACGCCGAUGCUUAGUCUGCUUCCUGGUUUUGGCUCGUAUUGUGAUCGCGAGAUGCUAGAUCCAUACCUUAUAGGCGUCGUUCCGGACGUUGACGGCAAGGGCCACUUCUUGACCGCUUUCAAAAGGAAGGAGUCAGCGGAUUGCGAACACCACAUCUACAGGCUCGAAGGCAGUAUCGGGACCUGGAGCAAAGAGCAUCUUUUCCCAGAUUUUCCCUCCUGGGCACGUUCAGGGGUUUUUCCAGAUAAGGUGGUUGCAUUACAUCAAGAAGUGGGCUAUGUCGAUCUCUUGAAGGGGAUUCUUUUCUGCAAUGUGGUCAAAAAUCCGGUGAAGGCACGUUUCAUUCCAUUGCCGAACCUGCUACCCAACAACCAACACUACUUCUAUGAAGAAUUGCCAGGACAGGCAAUACGCGAUGUCACCUGCACUGAUGGUUAUAAAAUCGUAUGUGUUGAGCUGGAAGAUUUAUUCGGUUUCACAACCAGAAUCCCCGAUCCUGAUGUACUCUAUGAUUUUGAAGUUGAUCCAUCUGAGAAGGUGGUAAAGCGCAUGUGUGUUGGUUGGAGGCUCGUGACAUGGUAUAGGGAGAUCUUUUGGGACCAUUGGCAAAAGGUGUGUAAGAUUCAUGUUGAUGAACUUGGAGAAGUCUCCUUGCCUCCUCAUGGUAGAACAGAACCCUUGCCACCUAAGAACCUGAAACCAUCUUCUAGAGCUAAAAAGUUGCCUCUGAGCGACCUGCAAACAGCUUGUCCGAUCCUCUGUGGCGAUUAUGUUUGCCUCCUCUCCAAGUGGGACUAUCGUGAUGAUGAGGCUUGGAUUGUCACUGUUGACAUGUGGAAGAAAGCAGUGAGAGGACUGGUGCCAGUUAAAGAUGGGAUAUCCAUGCGUCUCAAUCCAGCCUACGUAUCCUGUGUGACGAAGAAUUAUCGCAAGAGUGAAUCAGAUGGACGUAGCUCUCUUGUGAAGGAUACUCCUUUUCACGGCAAACGUUGUCUGUCGCUCCUGGAAAACACUAGUAACAGUUUCCAGCCGAAGAGGACACUGAGGGGUUCGACAAUGGAACGAAGAGAACGAUAUGGUUGAGUCGACCUCCAUAGGAUUGCCACCAAUAAGCUCGUGCAAUCCUUAUCAGGUCAUAGUAACAUUUGUGAAUCUUGUGAUGAUGCAAGCUUUGGACAAGGAUCUUCAUUCAUUUGAAGCACUGAUGAUUUAAGUUAGAUGUGUGUCAGUUAUGCUUUAAAACCAUAUACUGUUAGAUGUGUGUCAGUUCUGCGCUAUAAUGCUGUUUAAUUUAUAUUGAUCCUUCUAGUUGUGUAUCUAUACCAUGUUAGCAUCAGAUAUGUGUCAGUAAUAUGAUUUAAAACCAUCGUACUUAUUCCAAUAUGCAUAUUGAUCCUUCAGUUGUACCCCGUCUGUUCCUAAAUAUAAGUUUGAGAGAUUCCGUAUA
RNA transcript from Triticum dicoccoides, 1840 nucleotides. RefSeq lists it as uncharacterized. The transcript is spliced from 4 exons. The record is from RefSeq and is a predicted model, not a curated record. Lineage: Eukaryota; Viridiplantae; Streptophyta; Magnoliopsida; Poales; Poaceae.